CUUAUACUCCCUCCGUUCGGAAUUACUUGUCUCGAAAAUGGAUGUAUCUAGAACUAAAAUAUGUCUAGAUACAUCCAUUUCUGCGACAAGUAAUUCCGAACGGAGGAAGUACGUC
This is a non-coding RNA of Triticum aestivum (bread wheat), 115 nucleotides long. Lineage: Eukaryota; Viridiplantae; Streptophyta; Magnoliopsida; Poales; Poaceae. The record is from Rfam.